Molecule: transfer RNA, 73 nt
Filed under: Bacteroidota bacterium
Lineage: Bacteria; Pseudomonadati; Bacteroidota
Also listed under: 9 other names
Description: Bacteroidetes bacterium (activated sludge metagenome) tRNA-Trp
Rfam family: tRNA
About the family: Transfer RNA (tRNA) molecules are approximately 80 nucleotides in length.
Source: RNAcentral
ACGGGUGUAGCUCAGCUGGUAGAGUAGUGGUCUCCAAAACCAUUGGUCGUGGGUUCGAAUCCUACCGCCCGUG